GUCUACGGCCACACCACCCUGAACGCGCCGCCCGAUCCCGUCUGAUCUCGGAAGCUAAGCAGGGUCGGGCCUGGUUAGUACUUGGAUGGGAGGCAAGGAGCUGCUAGGGU
RNAcentral lists this ribosomal RNA (110 nucleotides) under Felis catus (domestic cat). The record is from RNAcentral. Lineage: Eukaryota; Metazoa; Chordata; Mammalia; Carnivora; Felidae.